AAAGGGAGACCUAAUUCAGGUAGGAGACGAAAAAAAAGUAGUCGCUACCAAGAAUCAAUCCCAAAAGGUCGGAGCGAGGCGAAAUUGGCUUUCAAACUAGGUUCUGGGUUCAAACAAGACCUGAAUCAGGAACAAGGGCUAUUAGCUCAGGUGGUUAGAGCGCACCCCUGAUAAGGGUGAGGUCCCUGGUUCGAGUCCAGGAUGGCCCACCUGUACAGGUGGCAAAAAGAAAGAAAAGAAGCGAGGAAUCAGCACCUUAUCUUACUGACAUAGUAAGAGAGGAUGCUGGCUCUGAGUAAAGAGUCCAGAGGAACCUUGAAAACUGCAUAGAGCUAGGUGAAAAAGCCAAAAAAGAAGACCGCAAG
Molecule: transfer RNA, 365 nt
Filed under: uncultured Microcystis sp.
Lineage: Bacteria; Bacillati; Cyanobacteriota; Cyanophyceae; Chroococcales; Microcystaceae
Description: partial 16S-23S ribosomal RNA intergenic spacer
Rfam family: tRNA (bases 136-209)
Source: RNAcentral